This 253-nucleotide ribosomal RNA is filed under the name uncultured bacterium. Its description in RNAcentral is "partial 16S ribosomal RNA". It matches the Rfam family "Bacterial small subunit ribosomal RNA", at positions 524 to 776 of the family's 1533-position model. The record is from RNAcentral.
UACAGAGGUCCCAAGCGUUGUUCGGAUUCACUGGGCGUAAAGGGUGCGUAGGUGACCAGGUAAGUUUGGUGUGAAAGCUCGGAGCUUAACUCCGAAAAGUCAUUGAAUACUAUCUGGCUGGAGGGUCGGAGGGGAGACUGGAAUUCUCGGUGUAGCAGUGAAAUGCGUAGAUAUCGAGAGGAACACCAGUGGCGAAGGCGAGUCUCUGGACGACUCCUGACACUGAGGCACGAAAGCUAGGGGAGCAAACAGG